This 433-nucleotide ribosomal RNA is filed under the name uncultured bacterium. Its description in RNAcentral is "bacterial SSU rRNA". It matches the Rfam family "Bacterial small subunit ribosomal RNA", at positions 29 to 507 of the family's 1533-position model. The record is from RNAcentral.
AAUGAACGCUGGCGGCAGGCCUAACACAUGCAAGUCGAACGAAGUCUUCGGACUUAGUGGCGGACGGGUGAGUAACGCGUGGGAACAUACCCAAAGGUACGGAAUAGCCUCGGGAAACUGGGAGUAAUACCGUAUGUGCCCUUCGGGGGAAAGAUUUAUCGCCUUUGGAUUGGCCCGCGUUGGAUUAGGUAGUUGGUGGGGUAAUGGCCUACCAAGCCGACGAUCCAUAGCUGGUUUGAGAGGAUGAUCAGCCACACUGGGACUGAGACACGGCCCAGACUCCUACGGGAGGCAGCAGUGGGGAAUCUUAGACAAUGGGCGCAAGCCUGAUCUAGCCAUGUCGCGUGAUCGAUGAAGGCCUUAGGGUUGUAAAGAUCUUUCAGAUGGGAAGAUAAUGACGGUACCAUCAGAAGAAGCCCCGGCUAACUCCGUG